This 499-nucleotide long non-coding RNA is filed under the name Triticum aestivum (bread wheat). RNAcentral's name for it is "long non-coding RNA (TAES_LNC008989)". Lineage: Eukaryota; Viridiplantae; Streptophyta; Magnoliopsida; Poales; Poaceae. The record is from RNAcentral.
UUUAAGUCCACUUGCAUAAAAGCAAUCGAGUAUUCUCCAAUGUCCAUACUUACGAUUUAUUAUUGAUGAAGAAUCUUUGUGGUUUAGGUAAAAAAACAAUCUAAGCCAGCCCCUCCGAACACAGACACAAAACAUUGCUAGUCCAACACAACCAUGAAAUAUUGGUACUGUACAUCUCUUACAAUGUCAUGAUAGUCUAAAAGGUUAUGUUCAUCUAAACUUUUCUUUGUUAUCUACCUUUUUCAGGUUAGAGGAUUCAGAAAAGGAGUGCAUUGCACGAGCCAGGAGCAACUACAGAUGAAUAAUCUUCAAAUGAACAAAUAUUAUAGAUGAUGUAUAGAUUUUAGCUUCAAAGGAGUACUUAGUUCUACUUUGUAGGGUUUUCGUAAUUAUUUGUAUCUUCCGUAUGAAUAUCUCAUUUGUGAGCUCCACACUUUCAGUAGAGGUAUUUGUUCCUAUUAAUUUAUCCACUUUAUGUUAAUUGUGUGAGAAUGCAAUU